RNAcentral lists this ribosomal RNA (252 nucleotides) under uncultured bacterium. RNAcentral's name for it is "partial 16S ribosomal RNA". It matches the Rfam family "Bacterial small subunit ribosomal RNA", at positions 1250 to 1500 of the family's 1533-position model. The record is from RNAcentral.
CGAAGCCGCGAGGCAGAGCAAAACCCUAAAAAGUACGUCUCAGUUCGGAUUGCAGGCUGCAACUCGCCUGCAUGAAGUCGGAAUUGCUAGUAAUCGCAGAUCAGCAUGCUGCGGUGAAUACGUUCCCGGGCCUUGUACACACCGCCCGUCACACCAUGGGAGUCGGUAACACCCGAAGUCGGUAGUCUAACCGAAGGGAGGACGCCGCCGAAGGUGGGAUUGAUGACUGGGGUGAAGUCGUAACAAGGUAUC